This 634-nucleotide ribosomal RNA is filed under the name Staphylococcus aureus. Its description in RNAcentral is "partial 23S ribosomal RNA". It matches the Rfam family "Bacterial large subunit ribosomal RNA", at positions 683 to 1321 of the family's 2925-position model. Lineage: Bacteria; Bacillati; Bacillota; Bacilli; Caryophanales; Staphylococcaceae. The record is from RNAcentral.
CUGAAUAGGGCGUUUAGUAUUUGGUCGUAGACCCGAAACCAGGUGAUCUACCCUUGGUCAGGUUGAAGUUCAGGUAACACUGAAUGGAGGACCGAACCGACUUACGUUGAAAAGUGAGCGGAUGAACUGAGGGUAGCGGAGAAAUUCCAAUCGAACCUGGAGAUAGCUGGUUCUCUCCGAAAUAGCUUUAGGGCUAGCCUCAAGUGAUGAUUAUUGGAGGUAGAGCACUGUUUGGACGAGGGGCCCCUCUCGGGUUACCGAAUUCAGACAAACUCCGAAUGCCAAUUAAUUUAACUUGGGAGUCAGAACAUGGGUGAUAAGGUCCGUGUUCGAAAGGGAAACAGCCCAGACCACCAGCUAAGGUCCCAAAAUAUAUGUUAAGUGGAAAAGGAUGUGGCGUUGCCCAGACAACUAGGAUGUUGGCUUAGAAGCAGCCAUCAUUUAAAGAGUGCGUAAUAGCUCACUAGUCGAGUGACACUGCGCCGAAAAUGUACCGGGGCUAAACAUAUUACCGAAGCUGUGGAUUGUCCUUUGGACAAUGGUAGGAGAGCGUUCUAAGGGCGUUGAAGCAUGAUCGUAAGGACAUGUGGAGCGCUUAGAAGUGAGAAUGCCGGUGUGAGUAGCGAAAGACGGG